AUGACAGUAAUCCUUAUUUCUUGUUUUGCAGAUGAAGAUAUUUUGCUGGAUGUAUUUAUUUUUCCCUCCAGAUCCCUUCUCUGUCAUUUUCCGUUCUGCUCUAUAUCCCAGAGGAACACACAAGGCCGAUUGAGUUUGUCCAUUGAAGAAUACAGUUUCUGUUGCAUGUGUGUUCAGGUAAUUAUUCCCACUCCUUGCUCCUUCAGGUCUAAGAAUAGUAAUGACUUCUUUGGCCCCAGCGGCCUUACCAUACUCAGGACACUUGACCAUCAUUCGUGAAUUUAUCUCAAUCUUGUGUGCCUUUGUAAAUAGUCCCUUUAUUAAAUUCUCCUCAGUUAUUCUAUUUGGGUAUAGUUUACAUCUGUUUCUAGCAUGGAUGGUGACUAUUGUAGGAAGGUACUGCAAUAAUUCAACUAGGAGUUGAUGGUAACAGUGGAAAUGGAAAGGAGGGCUGGAUUCCUGCUUAUGUGUUGAAAGAACCAAUAGAAUUUGCAGAUGGACGAAAUCAACUAGGAGUUGAUGGUAACAGUGGAAAUGGAAAGAAGGGCUGCACUCCUGCUUAUGUGUUGAAGAAAGAACCAAUAGAAUUUACUGAUGGACGAAAUGUAGUGUGUGAGAAAAAGAGAAGAUUCAAAAGUGACUCCAAAGCUGUAGGCUUGAGCAGCUGGAAGGAUGGAGUUGCCACUUACUGGGACUGGAAGGACUUCAGGAAGAACAAGCUGGGGAACUUUCGUCAUGUUAAAUUUGAACUUAACUAGGUAUCCAAAGAGCGUUUUCACAUAAGCAUUUGGAUGUACAAGUCUGAUGUCAAGAGAGAGGUCUGGGAGUCAUCAGCCCAGAGAUAGUCUUCAAGGCCAUGGAACAGAUGAAAUCAACCACUGUCUGAGUGGAGAGAGAAAGAAAAGGAAUAAGGGCUGUCUUGUGGACUCUUCCAUAUUUGGAAUUCAGGGAGAUAAGGAAGAACCAGAAAAUUAGACUGAAAAGGGGUGACCAGAAACGAGGUGAGUGUGGUGUCCUGGAAGCCAAAUGAAGAAAGUGUUCAGUGGAGAAACUGUGUAAAAUGUUGGCUGAUAGUCAAAUAAAAGAACAACUGAGAAUUGACUACUAGAGGUC
This 1113-nucleotide long non-coding RNA is filed under the name Ursus maritimus (polar bear). RNAcentral describes it as "lncRNA (ENSUMAG00000007041.1)". The record is from RNAcentral. Lineage: Eukaryota; Metazoa; Chordata; Mammalia; Carnivora; Ursidae.